Molecule: ribosomal RNA, 253 nt
Filed under: uncultured bacterium
Lineage: Bacteria
Description: partial 16S ribosomal RNA
Rfam family: Bacterial small subunit ribosomal RNA
Source: RNAcentral
UACGUAGGGGGCAAGCGUUGUCCGGAUUUAUUGGGCGUAAAGAGCGUGUAGGCGGCUAGAUAGGUCCGUUGUGAAAACUCGAGGCUCAACCUCGAGACGCCGAUGGAAACCAUCUGGCUAGAGUCCGGAAGAGGAGAGUGGAAUUCCUGGUGUAGCGGUGAAAUGCGCAGAUAUCAGGAAGAACACCCGUGGCUAAGGCGGCUCUCUAGUACGGUACUGACGCUGAGACGCGAAAGCGUGGGUAGCAAACAGG